Triticum aestivum (bread wheat) is the source of this 1810-nucleotide long non-coding RNA. RefSeq lists it as uncharacterized. The record is from RefSeq and is a predicted model, not a curated record. The transcript has 7 exons. Lineage: Eukaryota; Viridiplantae; Streptophyta; Magnoliopsida; Poales; Poaceae.
GGAGCAGAGAGAGGCCAACACGGCUGUACCCAUAUCUAAACGGGAAGACGCUCAAGGCGGCAACGGCGACAUGGAGAAGCAGGGCGGCGACCCGCCAGGCGGCGCGCUCCCAUUGAAGGGGCCUGUUACUGUGCUGAGGGCAUCGCAUGGGGAUAAACACACCAGUGACACGUGCUUGGAGCAUGAUGAAAUUAACAAAGCCCAAGAAAUAUUGUUUGAAGAAAAAAGAGAUCCCGAAGAUAUGGACGAUCAACAUCUAUAUGAGGAACAGGGGCAAGAAAUAGAUGAUGAUUUAACUGAAACUGAAGUGUCAGAUAGUCUACUGUGCGACGGUGUGAUAAAUUUGGUAACCACUUUUUUUUGGAUUUUUGCUUUGAUGAAUGCAUCUCAUGUCUUCAUUUUUUUCCUCAUUGAGCAACCAACAAGUGAUAGAGGUGGGUAUGUGCUACGACUAAUUGAAAAUAACGCACCCAACUCAAAGAACUUGUGCUUUCUCCCUACAAUAGUUUAAUAUAUAUGUUUUUGAAGUGACUCGUAAUUCUGGUAUAUAUACAGUUUAUGUUGCCAGGUUAUCUCAUAGACAGUUUUUUUUGUCUCUGAUGUUUUGUCUUAUGAUUUUUUCUUGCAGGUAAGAAAGAGUAUUGAAAGAGUAUAUAUACAGUUUUAGUAUUUUUUCCAUUUUCCCCCUUUUUUAUAAGUAUGAGUUUUCAACGUCUUUAUUUUACUUGGCAACACAAUAACAAUGUCUGAAGUUUUCUUUGUUCGCUUAUUGUAAUUUUUUUUAGGUCCGGUGCCUUGAUUUUAUUGACUUUGGGACCAUACAACUAGAGUGUACAUUGCCAAGAAUUUGUAUAUGGAAGGGGAACCCAAGACUAUCACCCAAGACUAUCUCAAAGGCAUUUCUUCUUCCACACUGCUAGUGAAUACUUCCUACAAAAGUGGAAGAAUGAAGCAUCGAGAUUGCAGUUUAGAGAUAAAUUAAUAAAGAGUUUCAUAGGAGCUGGAAAAGCAAAGGAUCUUCAGCAAUGUAACGAAUUAUUUUUUCCAACGCUACACAAGUCGCACUGGUUCAUUUUCCUGGUGGACCUGUGUGCCCAUAAAUUCAUCUUCCUGGAUUCAAAGUAUGAUGGAGAUAGCACAUACCACAGGACAAUAAAGCACAUGAUGAUUGAAAAUUUCAAACGAGCUUGGAAUGAUGCUGGUCUAAGGAAUAUGGGAUACAGACACUAUGAAACUGCAUAUCCAAACUUACCGAAGCAGGAAGGAUGCGAUGCUUGCGGGAUUUUUGUCUUGAAUUGGUUAGAGAACUGGCGUUCUAGGAAUGCGUUGCAAUCAGUCUUCACGCACGAUAUGGUCCAAGAUGCACGUAUAAGGUUUGCAGUCGAUAUUUUGUUCAGUGAACACAACAUUCUCGAUGAAGGGAAAAGGAUUGUAAAGGAUUUAUGAAAUAUGAGUUAAGAGACACUUUCCAGAAAACUCUCCAGUGGACAUAGCAAUACAAAGAUAAACAAUUCAACUAUAGUUGCGAAAAUGGCAAGACUCCGUCUCUUCAAUUGUUUCUCUCACAAACAAUGGCGCAGAAUUCGAAGUUCAUGCGCAUGAAGCAAGGAAGCGUGGUGUCAAGUAGAUAACAAAACAUUUUUACGUGUUUCAGAAUUUUUUUGUUUCGUUUGUACACUCUGUGGCCAUGUAUAAAGUACUACGAGGAAGAGAAUGAAUGCAAAUGAGUAUGCAAAUAUAUUCGAAGUACUAUGAGGAAGAGAUUUGAAUGCAAAUGAGUAUGCAAAUAUAUUCAAAGUUUUUUUGUAUA